This 83-nucleotide transfer RNA is filed under the name Candidatus Termititenax persephonae. RNAcentral's name for it is "tRNA-Leu". It matches the Rfam family "tRNA". From Rfam's summary of the family: Transfer RNA (tRNA) molecules are approximately 80 nucleotides in length. Lineage: Bacteria; Bacillati; Candidatus Margulisiibacteriota; Candidatus Termititenacia; Candidatus Termititenacales; Candidatus Termititenacaceae. The record is from RNAcentral.
GCGCUCGUGGCGGAACUGGCAGACGCACCAGACUUAGGAUCUGGCGGGCGACCAUGGGGGUUCAAGUCCCUCCGAGCGCACCA